This 333-nucleotide unclassified non-coding RNA is filed under the name soil metagenome. RNAcentral's name for it is "partial contains 5.8S ribosomal RNA, internal transcribed spacer 2, and large subunit ribosomal RNA". The stretch from base 1 to 120 matches the Rfam family "5.8S ribosomal RNA", at positions 35 to 154 of the family's 154-position model. The record is from RNAcentral.
GAUGAAGAACGUAGCGAAAUGCGAUAAGUAAUGUGAAUUGCAGAAUUCAGUGAAUCAUCGAAUCUUUGAACGCACAUUGCGCCCCUUGGUAUUCCGAGGGGCAUGCCUGUUCGAGCGUCAUUAUAACCCCUCAAGCUCAGCUUGGUGUUGGGGCCUGCUGCACUGGCAGCCCUUAAAAUCAGUGGCGGCGCCAUCUGGCUCUAAGCGUAGUAAUUCUUCUCGCUAUGGAGUCCCGGUGGGUGCUUGCCAUCAACCUUAAAAAAACUUUUCUAUGGUUGACCUCGGAUCAGGUAGGGAUACCCGCUGAACUUAAGCAUAUCAAUAAGCGGAGGA